This 66-nucleotide transfer RNA is filed under the name Suragina sp. KW-2016. Its description in RNAcentral is "tRNA-Tyr". It matches the Rfam family "tRNA". From Rfam's summary of the family: Transfer RNA (tRNA) molecules are approximately 80 nucleotides in length. Their secondary structure includes four short double-helical elements and three loops (D, anti-codon, and T loops). The record is from RNAcentral. Lineage: Eukaryota; Metazoa; Arthropoda; Insecta; Diptera; Athericidae.
GAUUAAAUGGCUGAAGUUAGGCGAUAAAUUGUAAAUUUAUUUAUGAGAUACAUUUCUCUUUAAUCA